RNAcentral lists this ribosomal RNA (119 nucleotides) under Echeneis naucrates (live sharksucker). Lineage: Eukaryota; Metazoa; Chordata; Actinopteri; Carangiformes; Echeneidae. The record is from RNAcentral.
GCUUACGGCCAUACCACCCUGAACACGCCCAAUCUCGUCUGAUCUCGGAAGCUAAGCAGGGUCGGGCCUGGUUAGUACUUGGAUGGGAGACCGCCUGGGAAUACCAGGUGCUGUAAGCU